Molecule: unclassified non-coding RNA, 391 nt
Filed under: soil metagenome
Description: partial contains 5.8S ribosomal RNA, internal transcribed spacer 2, and large subunit ribosomal RNA
Rfam family: 5.8S ribosomal RNA (bases 1-122)
Source: RNAcentral
GAUGAAGAACGCAGCGAAAUGUGAUACUUGGUGUGAAUUACAGAAUCCCGUGAACCAUCGAGUCUUUGAACGCAAGUUGCGCCCGAAGCCAUUAGGCCGAGGGCACGCCUGCCUGGGCGUCACACGUCGUUGCCCCCCCAUCUACUCCUUCGGGAUUGCGGGGGGCGGAUGAUGGCCUCCCGUGCGCCUCGCCGCGCGGUUGGCAUAAAUGCCAAGUCCUCGGCGACGCACGCCACGACAAUCGGUGGUUGCGAAACCUCGGUUGCCCGUCGUGUGCGGUCGUCGCGCAUCGAGGGCUCGAAAAAAUUGCCGGGUUCCGGCUCGGCUUUCAACGCGACCCCAGGUCAGGCGGGGUUACCCGCUGAAUUUAAGCAUAUCAAUAAGCGGAGGA